CCUACGGGUGGCAGCAGUGAGGAAUAUUGGUCAAUGGACGAGAGUCUGAACCAGCCAAGUAGCGUGAAGGAUGACUGCCCUAUGGGUUGUAAACUUCUUUUAUAUGGGAAUAAAAUGUUCCACGUGUGGGAUUUUGUAUGUACCAUAUGAAUAAGGAUCGGCGAACUACGUGCCAGCAGCCGCGGUAAUACGGAGGAUCCGAGCGUUAUCCGGAUUUAUUGGGUUUAAAGGGAGCGUAGGUGGCUUGUUAAGUCAGUUGUGAAAGUUUGCGGCUCAACCGUAAAAUUGCAGUUGAAACUGGCAGUCUUGAGUACAGUAGAGGUGGGCGGAAUUCGUGGUGUAGCGGUGAAAUGCUUAGAUAUCACGAAGAACUCCGAUUGCGAAGGCAGUUCACUGGACUGCAACUGACACUGAGGCUCGAAAGUGUGGGUAUCAAACAGGAUUAGAUACCCCAGUAGUC
Molecule: ribosomal RNA, 460 nt
Filed under: uncultured bacterium
Lineage: Bacteria
Description: partial 16S ribosomal RNA
Rfam family: Bacterial small subunit ribosomal RNA
Source: RNAcentral